UCUAACUACAUUGCUGAUAACUCAAAUGAGAACACCAAUAAAGUUCGAAGGGGUUACACUGAGACCUCCCAUAUGCAUAUUUAGCUAACAAAUAGAUAUGUAUAAAGCUGGGUAAAGACGAGUGAAACCUACCCUAACACAUAAUGGUGAGGAAAACUAAGUCAGAGGUGACUAGGUAGGCAUAGUGCGGGUGGCGAUUGA
Molecule: non-coding RNA, 201 nt
Organism: Clostridium sp. CAG:221
Lineage: Bacteria; Bacillati; Bacillota; Clostridia; Eubacteriales; Clostridiaceae
Source: Rfam